RNAcentral lists this ribosomal RNA (518 nucleotides) under uncultured bacterium. RNAcentral's name for it is "bacterial SSU rRNA". It matches the Rfam family "Bacterial small subunit ribosomal RNA", at positions 382 to 916 of the family's 1533-position model. The record is from RNAcentral.
CCUGACACACCUUCGCCGCUUGACUGAUGAACGUCUUCUCCUUGUAAAGCUCUGUCUUUUGGGACCAUAAUGACGGAACCAAAGGAGGAAUCCACGGCUAACUACUUGCCGUCAACCGCGGGAAUACCCAGGGGGUAAGCGUUGGCCGGAAUUACUGGCUUUAAAGGAUGUGUAGGCGGAUAUUUAAAUAAAAUGUGAAAUCCCCCAGCUCAACUUGGGGGCUGCAUUUCAAACUGGGUAUCUAGAGGGAAUGACAGGAAAGCGGAAUUCCUACUGUAUCGGUGAAUUGCAUAGAGAUCCCGAAGAACAUCUCGGGGAAAGGCGGUUUUCUGGACUGUACCUGACGCUGAGGCUUGAAAGCGUGGGGAGCAAAACGGAUUAGAUACCCUGGUAGUCCACGCCGUAGACGAUGAGUACUAGGUGUAGGAGGUAUCGACUCCUUCUGUGCCGCAGUUAACACAAUAAGUACUCCGCCUGGCAAGUACGGUCGCAAGAUUAAAACUCAAAGGAUGUGACGG